Small nuclear RNA from Loxodonta africana (African savanna elephant), 108 nucleotides. The record is from Ensembl. NCBI's taxonomy places the organism in Eukaryota, Metazoa, Chordata, Mammalia, Proboscidea, Elephantidae.
GAGUGCUCCCUUACGCCAUGCAUAUACUAAAGUGGAAGGAUACAGAAAAAACUAGCAUUGACCCCAAGCAAGAAUGACACACAAAUCCAUGAAGCAUGCCAUACUUUU